GACUAACGCUGGCGGCGUGCCUAAUACAUGCAAGUCGAACGGGAUUCUUUGAUCAGCUUGCUGAGAGAAGGAUCUAGUGGCGGACGGGUGAGUAACGCGUGGGAAUCUGCCUCUUACUGGGGGAUAACAGUGGGAAACUACUGCUAAUACCGCAUAAGAUCUUCGGAUGAAAGGUGCAACUGCACCGGUAAGAGAUGAGCCCGCGUCCCAUUAGCUAGUUGGUGAGGUAAAGGCUCACCAAGGCGACGAUGGGUAGCCGGCCUGAGAGGGUGAACGGCCACACUGGGACUGAGACACGGCCCAGACUCCUACGGGAGGCAGCAGUAGGGAAUCUUCCGCAAUGGGCGCAAGCCUGACGGAGCGACGCCGCGUGAGUGAUGAAGGCCUUCGGGUCGUAAAGCUCUGUUCUUGAGGACGAAUAAAGCCAGGGAGUGGAAAGCCCUGGUGAUGACUGUACUCAAGGAGAAAGCUCCGGCUAACUACGUGCC
This 488-nucleotide ribosomal RNA is filed under the name uncultured bacterium. RNAcentral describes it as "bacterial SSU rRNA". It matches the Rfam family "Bacterial small subunit ribosomal RNA", at positions 28 to 509 of the family's 1533-position model. The record is from RNAcentral.